Molecule: ribosomal RNA, 253 nt
Filed under: uncultured bacterium
Lineage: Bacteria
Description: partial 16S ribosomal RNA
Rfam family: Bacterial small subunit ribosomal RNA
Source: RNAcentral
UACGUAGGGGGCUAGCGUUGUCCGGAAUCAUUGGGCGUAAAGAGCGUGUAGGCGGCCCGGUAAGUCCGCUGUAAAAGUCAAAGGCUCAACCUUUGAAUGUCAGUGGAUACUGCCGGGCUAGAGUCCGGAAGAGGCGAGUGGAACUCCUGGUGUAGCGGUGGAAUGCGCAGAUAUCAGGAGGGACACCAAUAGCGAAGGCAGCUCGCUGGGACGUGACUGACGCUGAGACGCGAAAGCGUGGGGAGCAAACCGG